This 595-nucleotide ribosomal RNA is filed under the name Trichosporon asahii. RNAcentral's name for it is "partial large subunit ribosomal RNA". It matches the Rfam family "Eukaryotic large subunit ribosomal RNA", at positions 57 to 641 of the family's 3401-position model. The record is from RNAcentral. Lineage: Eukaryota; Fungi; Basidiomycota; Tremellomycetes; Trichosporonales; Trichosporonaceae.
AAAAGAAACUAACAAGGAUUCCCCUAGUAACGGCGAGUGAAGCGGGAAGAGCUCAAAUUUGAAAUCUGGCAGUCUUCGAUUGUCCGAGUUGUAAUCUAUAGAGGCGUUUUCCGUGCCGGACCGUGUCCAAGUCUCCUGGAAAGGAGUAUCAAAGAGGGUGAUAAUCCCGUACUUAACACGACCACCGGUGCUCUGUGAUACGUCUUCUACGAGUCGAGUUGUUUGGGAAUGCAGCUCAAAAUGGGUGGUGAAUUCCAUCUAAAGCUAAAUAUUGGCGAGAGACCGAUAGCGAACAAGUACCGUGAGGGAAAGAUGAAAAGCACUUUGGAAAGAGAGUUAAACAGUACGUGAAAUUGUUGAAAGGGAAACGAUUGAAGUCAGUCGUGUUCUUUGGAUUCAGCCAGUUCUGCUGGUCUACUUCCUUGGAACGGGUCAACAUCAGUUUUGUCCGGUGGAUAAAGGUAGUAGGAAUGUGACUUCUCCGGAAGUGUUAUAGCCUAUUAUCACAUACACUGGGUGAGACUGAGGACUGCAGCUCGCCUUUAUGGCCGGCCUUCGGGCACGUUCGAGCUUAGGAUGUUGACAUAAUGGCUUU